Molecule: long non-coding RNA, 374 nt
Filed under: Malus domestica (apple)
Lineage: Eukaryota; Viridiplantae; Streptophyta; Magnoliopsida; Rosales; Rosaceae
Description: long non-coding RNA (MDOM_LNC018931)
Source: RNAcentral
AUUAACUAAUUAAUUAAUCUUGACCAUUCUUCAAUUAAACCAUUUAAUUGCUUAUCCAUUUCAUUUAAUUUCCUCACAUACAUCCUUGCUCGGUGUACGAUCCAUUAGGUUCCAAUUAGCGAGGUAGUGGACGAUUGUUACUCUUAACGAUCGAUUGUGAAAUUGAAACCACAUUUCAAUUCUCCCUUAAUGAUUAGUGUUUGCUAAUCAUUUAGGGCUUCCACAAACCAUGAGUGACACCUAGCAGUAUGUCAUGGUUACCCAAGCUAAGUACAAUUGGUUGGAGAACCUAUCCAGUUGCAACUACAAUGCAAUACGGUCCUUCUCUAAUACAAUACUCUUAAUCACAUUGUUUGAGUGAUAGUUUGUUUCAU